GGUGGGGGGGGUGACAUACAUGCAAGUCGAACGCACAGCGAAAGGUGCUUGCACCUUUCAAGUGAGUGGCGAACGGGUGAGUAACACGUGGACAACCUGCCUCAAGGCUGGGGAUAACAUUUGGAAACAGAUGCUAAUACCGAAUAAAACUUAGUGUCGCAUGACACAAAGUUAAAAGGCGCUUCGGCGUCACCUAGAGAUGGAUCCGCGGUGCAUUAGUUAGUUGGUGGGGUAAAGGCCUACCAAGACAAUGAUGCAUAGCCGAGUUGAGAGACUGAUCGGCCACAUUGGGACUGAGACACGGCCCAAACUCCUACGGGAGGCUGCAGUAGGGAAUCUUCCACAAUGGGCGAAAGCCUGAUGGAGCAACGCCGCGUGUGUGAUGAAGGCUUUCGGGUCGUAAAGCACUGUUGUAUGGGAAGAACAGCUAGAAUAGGAAAUGAUUUUAGUUUGACGGUACCAUACCAGAAAGGGACGGCUAAAUACGUGCCAGCAGCCGCGGUAAUACGUAUGUCCCGAGCGUUAUCCGGAUUUAUUGGGCGUAAAGCGAGCGCAGACGGUUUAUUAAGUCUGAUGUGAAAGCCCGGAGCUCAACUCCGGAAUGGCAUUGGAAACUGGUUAACUUGAGUGCAGUAGAGGUAAGUGGAACUCCAUGUGUAGCGGUGGAAUGCGUAGAUAUAUGGAAGAACACCAGUGGCGAAGGCGGCUUACUGGACUGCAACUGACGUUGAGGCUCGAAAGUGUGGGUAGCAAACAGGAUUAGAUACCCUGGUAGUCCACACCGUAAACGAUGAACACUAGGUGUUAGGAGGUUUCCGCCUCUUAGUGCCGAAGCUAACGCAUUAAGUGUUCCGCCUGGGGAGUACGACCGCAAGGUUGAAACUCAAAGGAAUUGACGGGGACCCGCACAAGCGGUGGAGCAUGUGGUUUAAUUCGAAGCAACGCGAAGAACCUUACCAGGUCUUGACAUCCUUUGAAGCUUUUAAGAGAUAGAAGUGUUCUCUUCGGAGACAAAGUGACAGGUGGUGCAUGGUCGUCGUCAGCUCGUGUCGUGAGAUGUUGGGUUAAGUCCCGCAACGAGCGCAACCCUUAUUGUUAGUUGCCAGCAUUCAGAUGGGCACUCUAGCGAAACUGCCGGUGACAAACCGGAGGAAGGCGGGGACAACGUCCAGAUCAUCAUGCCCCUUAUGACCUGGGCUACACACGUGCUACAAUGGCGUAUACAACAAGUUGCCAACCCGC
RNAcentral lists this ribosomal RNA (1242 nucleotides) under Leuconostoc mesenteroides. RNAcentral describes it as "bacterial SSU rRNA". It matches the Rfam family "Bacterial small subunit ribosomal RNA", at positions 38 to 1258 of the family's 1533-position model. The record is from RNAcentral. Lineage: Bacteria; Bacillati; Bacillota; Bacilli; Lactobacillales; Lactobacillaceae.